RNAcentral lists this ribosomal RNA (447 nucleotides) under uncultured soil bacterium. Its description in RNAcentral is "bacterial SSU rRNA". It matches the Rfam family "Bacterial small subunit ribosomal RNA", at positions 26 to 466 of the family's 1533-position model. The record is from RNAcentral.
AGGACGAACGCUGGCGGCGUGCCUAACACAUGCAAGUUGAGCGACGAACCGGGGCUUGCCCCGGGGCAAAGCAGCGAACGGGUGAGUAACACGUGGAUAACGUACCCCGAUAACCGGGACAACCCGAGGAAACUCGAGCUAAUACCGGAUGUGCUUACUACACAUCAGUGAAGUAAGUAAAGGAAGCUUCGGCCUCCGUAUUGGGAGCGGUCCGCGGCCCAUUAGCUAGUUGGUGAGGUAACGGCUCACCAAGGCAACGAUGGGUAGCUGGUCUGAGAGGACGAUCAGCCACACUGGGACUGAGACACGGCCCAGACUCCUAGGGAGGCAGCAGGCGGGAAUCUUGCGCAAGUGCGCGAAAGCGUGACGCAGCAACGCGCGGUGGGAAGUAAGGUUUGGAUUACGUAAACCCCUUUGAAGGAAGGAACGAAGGUUCGACGAGUAGAA